Molecule: ribosomal RNA, 351 nt
Filed under: uncultured eukaryote
Lineage: Eukaryota
Description: partial 18S ribosomal RNA
Rfam family: Eukaryotic small subunit ribosomal RNA
Source: RNAcentral
CAAUAGCGUAUAUUAUUGAUGUUGCAGUUGAAAUGUUCGUAGUCGAACUUUAUGUGCUUGGAUACUAUAACAUCUUUGAUGUGAUAGUGUUUUCAGCACAGAUCAUGCAAACCAAUACCAUAUGUUUCAUAUGGUUGUUUGAUUUGCAUCUUACUUUAAGUGAAUCGGCGUGUUCCACGCAGGCAUGUGCCUUGAACGAUUUACCAUAGCAUAAAUAGAGUAUGGAAGUAUUUGUUUGCUUGUUCACGGAUAUUUUUGAUGGGCAUUCGUAUUCAACUGCUAGAGGUGAAAUUCUUUGAUUAGUUGAGGACGAACUAUUGCGAAAGCAUCUGCCAUGGACGUUUCUUUUGA